GACGAACGCUGGCGGCGUGCCUAAUACAUGCAAGUUGAGCGAUGAAGAUUGGUGCUUGCACCAAUUUGAAGAGCAGCGAACGGGUGAGUAACGCGUGGGGAAUCUGCCUUUGAGCGGGGGACAACAUUUGGAAACGAAUGCUAAUACCGCAUAACAACUUUAAACAUAAGUUUUAAGUUUGAAAGAUGCAAUUGCAUCACUCAAAGAUGAUCCCGCGUUGUAUUAGCUAGUUGGUGAGGUAAAGGCUCACCAAGGCGAUGGUACAUAGCCGACCUGAGAGGGUGAUCGGCCACAUUGGGACUGAGACACGGCCCAAACUCCUACGGGAGGCAGCAGUAGGGAAUCUUCGGCAAUGGACGAAAGUCUGACCGAGCAACGCCGCGUGAGUGAAGAAGGUUUUCGGAUCGUAAAACUCUGUUGGUAGAGAAGAACGUUGGUGAGAGUGGAAAGCUCAUCAAGUGACGGUAACUACCCAGAAAGGGACGGCUAACUACGUG
RNAcentral lists this ribosomal RNA (497 nucleotides) under uncultured bacterium. RNAcentral describes it as "partial 16S ribosomal RNA". It matches the Rfam family "Bacterial small subunit ribosomal RNA", at positions 28 to 507 of the family's 1533-position model. The record is from RNAcentral.